UUUCCGUAGGUGAACCUGCGGAAGGAUCAUUAUUGCAUAACCGAGGGUCGAGGGCUGUCGCUGCCCCGAGAGGUCGUGCACGCCCGAGUGCCCUCACCCACAUCCAUCUUACCCCUAUGUGCACCGCCGCGGGGGUGCCCCUUUAGCUUGGUCGGAGGGGGGCUUUCGUUUUCACACAAACUUUGUAUGUAGUGUAGAAUGUAUUUUUUGUUGUUGCUAUCACGCAAUCAAUACAACUUUCAACAACGGAUCUCUUGGCUCUC
Molecule: unclassified non-coding RNA, 263 nt
Filed under: plant metagenome
Description: partial contains small subunit ribosomal RNA, internal transcribed spacer 1, and 5.8S ribosomal RNA
Source: RNAcentral